RNAcentral lists this ribosomal RNA (507 nucleotides) under uncultured Glomeromycotina. RNAcentral describes it as "partial small subunit ribosomal RNA". It matches the Rfam family "Eukaryotic small subunit ribosomal RNA", at positions 591 to 1092 of the family's 1831-position model. Lineage: Eukaryota; Fungi; Glomeromycota. The record is from RNAcentral.
CCAAUAGCGUAUAUUAAAGUUGUUGCAGUUAAAAAGCUCGUAGUUGAAUUUCGGGAUUGACGUAAUGGUCAUGCCUUAAGGGGUAUGAACUGUUACUGUUGAUUUCUCACCUUCUGGAGAAACUUGAUGUCCUUUAUUGGGUGUCUUGCGGAUCCAGGACCUUUACCUUGAAAAAAUUAGAGUGUUUAAAGCAAGCUUAUUUGCCCGAUUCCAUAACAAGGGAUUAUUAGAAUAGGACGGCAUGAUUCUAUUUUGUUGGUUUCUAGGAUCACCGUAAUGAUUAAUAGGGAUAGUUGGGGGCAUUAGUAUUCAAUUGUCAGAGGUGAAAUUCUUGGAUUUAUUGAAGACUAACUACUGCGAAAGCAUUUGCCAAGGAUGUUUUCAUUAAUCAAGAACGAAAGUUAGGGGAUCGAAGACGAUCAGAUACCGUCGUAGUCUUAACCAUAAACUAUGCCGACUAGGAAUCAGACGAUGUUAAUUUUUUAAUGACUCGUUUGGCACCUUACG